GUUACAGAAGUGUUGGUCUUCAGCUCAGCUGCAGCUAUGCCUCUCUCUGGCUUUGAACACUGCUGAUUUUGGACCCCAGCCUGUGGAUUGACUUUCUGACUCAACCUCAGACUUCCUUCAUCACCACAUUUUUGCUAAUGGACUGGGUGCUUGGCUGCCAUCCCCAAACCUGUCCUGCUUGCUGUGCUUGGUUGCUGCAAGGCUGUACUCUGACAGUGAGGCACCUGCCAUGUCAGCUGCAUUGUGCUUGGCUCCUGGCUCCCCAUCUUUCAGAUAUCCUUAAAUCAAAGUCACACAGGGAGGG
This is a long non-coding RNA of Gallus gallus (chicken), 304 nucleotides long. The record is from Ensembl. Lineage: Eukaryota; Metazoa; Chordata; Aves; Galliformes; Phasianidae.